RNAcentral lists this ribosomal RNA (319 nucleotides) under uncultured eukaryote. RNAcentral describes it as "partial 18S ribosomal RNA". It matches the Rfam family "Eukaryotic small subunit ribosomal RNA", at positions 1470 to 1796 of the family's 1831-position model. The record is from RNAcentral.
CCCUUAGAUGUUCUGGGCUGCACGCGUGCUACAAUGAAGCGUCCAACAAGAUGCGAAGCCGAAAGGCUCAGCGGAUCUUUGAAGUCGUUUCGUGACCGGGACAGUUGAUUGCAAUUAUUCGACUCGAACGAGGAAUUCCUUGUAAUCGCGAUUCAUCAUAUCGCGCUGAAUACGUCCCUGCCCUUUGUACACACCGCCCGUCGCUCCUACCGAUUGAGCGAUCCGGUGAAUUAUUUGGAGUGUCCACGCAAGCCAAUCCGUUUACGUGGGUGCGAAAUUUUGUAAACCUUAUCGCUUAGAGGAAGGAAAAGUCGUAACA